AGUGAACGCUGGCGGUAGGCCUAACACAUGCAAGUCGAACGGCAGCACAGUAAGAGCUUGCUCUUACGGGUGGCGAGUGGCGGACGGGUGAGGAAUACAUCGGAAUCUACUUUUUCGUGGGGGAUAACGUAGGGAAACUUACGCUAAUACCGCAUACGACCUACGGGUGAAAGCAGGGGAUCUUCGGACCUUGCGCGAUUGAAUGAGCCGAUGUCGGGUUAGCUAGUUGGCGGGGUAAAGGCCCACCAAGGCGACGAUCCGUAGCUGGUCUGAGAGGAUGAUCAGCCACACUGGAACUGAGACACGGUCCAGACUCCUACGGGAGGCAGCAGUGGGGAAUAUUGGACAAUGGGCGCAAGCCUGAUCCAGCCAUACCGCGUGGGUGAAGAAGGCCUUCGGGUUGUAAAGCCCUUUUGUUGGGAAAGAAAAGCAGCAGGUUAAUACCCCGCUGUUCUGACGGUACCCAAAGAAUAGGCACCGGCUAACUUCGUG
Molecule: ribosomal RNA, 492 nt
Filed under: uncultured bacterium
Lineage: Bacteria
Description: partial 16S ribosomal RNA
Rfam family: Bacterial small subunit ribosomal RNA
Source: RNAcentral